RNAcentral lists this ribosomal RNA (499 nucleotides) under Saccharomyces cerevisiae (brewer's yeast). Its description in RNAcentral is "partial 26S ribosomal RNA". It matches the Rfam family "Eukaryotic large subunit ribosomal RNA", at positions 98 to 600 of the family's 3401-position model. The record is from RNAcentral. Lineage: Eukaryota; Fungi; Ascomycota; Saccharomycetes; Saccharomycetales; Saccharomycetaceae.
GCGGCAAAAGCUCAAAUUUGAAAUCUGGUACCUUCGGUGCCCGAGUUGUAAUUUGGAGAGGGCAACUUUGGGGCCGUUCCUUGUCUAUGUUCCUUGGAACAGGACGUCAUAGAGGGUGAGAAUCCCGUGUGGCGAGGAGUGCGGUUCUUUGUAAAGUGCCUUCGAAGAGUCGAGUUGUUUGGGAAUGCAGCUCUAAGUGGGUGGUAAAUUCCAUCUAAAGCUAAAUAUUGGCGAGAGACCGAUAGCGAACAAGUACAGUGAUGGAAAGAUGAAAAGAACUUUGAAAAGAGAGUGAAAAAGUACGUGAAAUUGUUGAAAGGGAAGGGCAUUUGAUCAGACAUGGUGUUUUGUGCCCUCUGCUCCUUGUGGGUAGGGGAAUCUCGCAUUUCACUGGGCCAGCAUCAGUUUUGGUGGCAGGAUAAAUCCAUAGGAAUGUAGCUUGCCUCGGUAAGUAUUAUAGCCUGUGGGAAUACUGCCAGCUGGGACUGAGGACUGCGAC